GACGAACGCUGGCGGCGUGCUUAACACAUGCAAGUCGAACGGAAAGGCCCUUCGGGGUACUCGAGUGGCGAACGGGUGAGUAACACGUGGGUGAUCUGCCCUGCACUUUGGGAUAAGCCUGGGAAACUGGGUCUAAUACCGAAUAGGACCACGCGCUUCAUGGUGUGUGGUGGAAAGCUUUUGCGGUGUGGGAUGGGCCCGCGGCCUAUCAGCUUGUUGGUGGGGUAAUGGCCUACCAAGGCGACGACGGGUAGCCGGCCUGAGAGGGUGACCGGCCACACUGGGACUGAGAUACGGCCCAGACUCCUACGGGAGGCAGCAGUGGGGAAUAUUGCACAAUGGGCGCAAGCCUGAUGCAGCGACGCCGCGUGAGGGAUGACGGCCUUCGGGUUGUAAACCUCUUUCAAUAGGGACGAAGCGCAAGUGACGGUACCUAUAGAAGAGGCACCGGCCAACUACGUG
RNAcentral lists this ribosomal RNA (462 nucleotides) under uncultured bacterium. RNAcentral's name for it is "partial 16S ribosomal RNA". It matches the Rfam family "Bacterial small subunit ribosomal RNA", at positions 28 to 507 of the family's 1533-position model. The record is from RNAcentral.